ACGAACGCUGGCGGCGUGCUUAACACAUGCAAGUCGAACGGUGACGAGGAGCUUGCUCCUCCGAUCAGUGGCGAACGGGUGAGUAACACGUGAGCAACCUGCCUCUCACUCUGGGAUAACAGUUGGAAACAGCUGCUAAUACCGGAUACGACACAGACAGGCAUCUGUACUGUGUGGAAAGUUUUUCGGUGAGGGAUGGGCUCGCGGCCUAUCAGUUUGUUGGUGGGGUAAUGGCCUACCAAGGCAAAGACGGGUAACUGGUCUGAGAGGAUGAUCAGUCACACUGGAACUGAGACACGGUCCAGACUCCUACGGGAGGCAGCAGUGGGGAAUUUUGCGCAAUGGACGAAAGUCUGACGCAGCGACGCCGCGUGGGUGAUGAAGGCCUUCGGGUUGUAAAGCCCUGUGGGGAGGAAAGAAUAAGCCUUGGCUAAUAUCCAAGGUGAUGACGGUACCUCCUUAGCAAGCACCGGCUAACUCUGUGCCAGCAGCCGCGGUAAGACAGAGGGUGCAAACGUUGUUCGGAAUUACUGGGCGUAAAGCGUGUGUAGGCGGCUACAAAAGUCGGACGUGAAAGCCCCGGGCUCAACCCGGGAAGUGCGCUCGAUACUGUGUGGCUAGAGUUUCGGAGAGGUUGGUGGAAUUCUCGGUGUAGAGGUGAAAUUCGUAGAUAUCGGGAAGAACACCGGCGGCGAAGGCGGCCAACUGGACGAAAACUGACGCUGAGACACGAAAGCGUGGGGGAGCAAACAGGAUUAGAUACCCUGGUAGUCCACGCCGUAAACGAUGGGGUGCUAGGUGUUACUGGUUUUGACUCCGGUAGCGCCGUAGCCAACGCAUUAAGCACCCCGCCUGGGAAGUACGGCCGCAAGGCUAAACUCAAGGAAUUGACGGGGGCCCGCACAGCGGUGGAGCAUGUGGUU
This 923-nucleotide ribosomal RNA is filed under the name uncultured bacterium. RNAcentral describes it as "bacterial SSU rRNA". It matches the Rfam family "Bacterial small subunit ribosomal RNA", at positions 29 to 946 of the family's 1533-position model. The record is from RNAcentral.